RNAcentral lists this ribosomal RNA (440 nucleotides) under uncultured bacterium. Its description in RNAcentral is "partial 16S ribosomal RNA". It matches the Rfam family "Bacterial small subunit ribosomal RNA", at positions 338 to 795 of the family's 1533-position model. The record is from RNAcentral.
CCUACUGGAGGCUGCAGUGGGGAAUAUUGCACAAUGCGGGAAACCCUGAUGCAGCGACGCCGCGUGAGUGACGAAGUAUUUCGGUACGUAAAGCUCUAUCAGCAGGGAAGAAAAUGACGGUACCUGACUAAGAAGCUCCGGCUAACUCCGUUCUAGACGCCGCGGGAAUACGUCGGGGGAGAGCGUUCUCCGGAUUGACUGGGUGUAAAGUGAGCGUAGACGGCUGGACAAGUCAUGAGUGAAAUCCCAGAGCUAAACCUAGGUACAGCUUGGGAAACUAUGCGGCUGGAGUGCCAGAGAGGUAAGCAGAAUUCCUGGUGUAGCGGUGAAAUGCGUAGAUAUCAGGAGGAACACCGUUAGCGAAGGCGGCAAACUGGCCGGUAACUGACGCUGAGGUGCGAAAGCGUGGGUAGCAAACAGGAUUAGAUACCCGUGUAGUC